This 61-nucleotide transfer RNA is filed under the name Pilophorus typicus. Its description in RNAcentral is "tRNA-Arg". The record is from RNAcentral. Lineage: Eukaryota; Metazoa; Arthropoda; Insecta; Hemiptera; Miridae.
AGUAGUGAAGUAAAAAUUACAUUUAGCUUCGACCUAAAAAAUAGAGCAAAGCUCCUUACUU